UAAACUAGGAUUAGAUACCCUAUUAUUUAAAAUGUAAUUUAAUCACUAAGGUAGUAAUAGUUAUGUUCUUGAAACUUAAAAAAUUUGGCGGUAUUUUAGUCUAUUCAGAGGAGCCUGUCCUGUAAUCGAUAAUCCACGAUGUACCUCGCUUAAGUUUGUUUUUCAGUUUAUAUACCGUCGUUAUCAGAAUAUUUUAUUAGAAUAACAAUUUUCUAUAAUUUUUAUAAGAAUUUAUAUCAGAUCAAGGUGUAGCUUAUAUUUAAGUAGAGAUGGGCUACAAUAAAUUUAUUUAAACGGAUCUAAUUUUGAAAUGUUUAGUGAAGGUGGAUUUGAUAGUAAAAUUUUAAAGAUUGUUGAUUUGAUUUUAGCUCUAAAAUAUGCACACAUCGCCCGUCGCUCUUGCUAUUAAGGUAAGAUAAGUCGUAACAUAGUA
This 433-nucleotide ribosomal RNA is filed under the name Bactrocera alyxiae. RNAcentral describes it as "partial 12S ribosomal RNA". The record is from RNAcentral. Lineage: Eukaryota; Metazoa; Arthropoda; Insecta; Diptera; Tephritidae.